GGUCAAGCUAGUAAGGGCAAAGGGUGGAUGCCUUGGCACCAGGAGCCGAUGAAGGACGUGGUAAGCUGCGAAAAGCUACGAGGAGCCGCAAGCAGGCAUUGAUUCGUAGAUAUCCGAAUGGGGAAACCCACUUGAAAUAAUAUUCAAGUAUCUGCUAGUGAAAACAUAGCUAGUAGAAGGGAGACCAGGGGAACUGAAACAUCUAAGUACCCUGAGGAGUAUAAAGAAAAAUCGAUUCCCCAAG
Molecule: ribosomal RNA, 244 nt
Filed under: Serpentinicella sp. ANB-PHB4
Lineage: Bacteria; Bacillati; Bacillota; Clostridia; Peptostreptococcales; Natronincolaceae
Description: partial 23S ribosomal RNA
Rfam family: Bacterial large subunit ribosomal RNA
Source: RNAcentral